Molecule: non-coding RNA, 81 nt
Organism: Nicotiana sylvestris (wood tobacco)
Lineage: Eukaryota; Viridiplantae; Streptophyta; Magnoliopsida; Solanales; Solanaceae
Source: Rfam
GUGCUAUGAUGAAAAUUUCAUUUGUGUCGGAGACUUUUGGUCUGUGAUGGUUUACACUACCCUCUAAGAAGUUCUGAGCAC